UCACAAACUUAUGGUCCCCCACUUCAGUCGGUCACUCUCGACUAGCCAUUCUACACCAAUGCAGAUGAAGAAGAUAAGAUGAGAGGGAAUGAGACCUCCCAAUCAUCACAGAAUGAUGGCAGAUUUUGUCUUCCUGCGGGUCUAUUCUGUACAACCAGGCCACAAGAUAUUGGCGAGCCAAGGAGAGAUUCACGCACGCACGAUAACAGACGGUCCCAAAAAUACGUGCAGAAGCUGCACUAGGUGGGAACAACUAUGUAGCAGGCAUCUGAGAAGUCGUUUUCCUUCAGAACUGGACGGUCGAGAGACAAGGUUCGACACAUUGGCACAUUUCGUCAUUCGAUCUAUCCAGCUGAAUCUCACUACUGACAGCGCAAAUUGGAAAGGGUGAUGUGUUUAAUGAUGAAAUCUAUCAUCUGCUGCUAGUUUCUGUUUCCAUACCCAGCAAAUUAUUCAGAUCUCAGCUGGUUUGAUGAUAAGCAGUAAAGAGAAGAAGCAUUUGCAAUCUCUCUGAUGGGUAAUUUCAGUACCGAAUCCUGACAAAUUUUGAGCGCCCCAGCGAGCUCAGCUCACCUCUGCUUACUCUUUUGUUUUUAAUUGGAUUAUUUCAUCCGAAAUAUUGUGUAGAGAAACCAGUGGGAUGGUUUUCAUGUCGCCUGAGUGUGCAUAUGAGAGGUUGCAUGUAACCCCUGUUCCGCAUAGCGAGAACACCUAGACCUCCAUUUUCUCACAUAGAAAUGCACUUAAUGCCA
Long non-coding RNA from Eucalyptus grandis, 752 nucleotides. RefSeq lists it as uncharacterized. The transcript has 2 exons. The record is from RefSeq and is a predicted model, not a curated record. NCBI's taxonomy places the organism in Eukaryota, Viridiplantae, Streptophyta, Magnoliopsida, Myrtales, Myrtaceae.